GUACGGACGUUGUCGGUGUGGUUUAUAAUGGCCCAACAAUCGUGACUCUGCAUUUUAUUCAGCUCAUUGUCGGACUGAAAGUUUACAGCUCAUCAAAAGGCUUGUCCAAAAAGCGGCAGAAACAUGACUAACGUCUUCGUUGAAUAUUGUGCAGGAUGAGGUUAUUCCCGCCGCUUCCAGGAACUAGCCCGUGUCGUCGGGCAGGUUCCUGGUGUGAAGGUGACGGGAAAAACAGGGAGGCAAGGCAGCUUUGAGGUGUCAGUGAAUGAUAAGCUGGUCUACUCCAAGCUUAAGACGGGAUCCUUUCCUAAACCUGAAGAGGUGGUGGAAUUGGUGAAGAAGAACAUGGCCCAAGGAGGAAAAGCUGGGAAGACCACUUAGUUUUAGAAGAUGGAGGCUAAAACAACAGCUGUAUUCACACUGUAAGAACAAUGGUUUGUUUUUUUAUGGCUGCUUAUCUGAAUACAAAAGUGAAUUCAAACAUAAAAAAAUAGAAAUAAAAUUAAAACAUAAUUGUGGACCAAAAUCCUUAGUCUCACCGUCAUCCAUGAGAAGAUCUGACCAUAUAUCUUCACUGUGAAUACAGACAAAGAUGAGAAGAUGAUGAGAGCAAAUCUCAGGAGCCAGGCACUGAUCUACUCUUCUGUUUAUGAAUGUACACACUUAAGAUGAUGUAGUGUGUACACGAUGCAAGUCUAGAAGCUUUUCAGCUGACUGGAGCCUGAGGAACUACUUUCAUCAUGUCCGUCUGGCAUUUAAUCAUAAAUAAAACGUCUUUACAGCAACAUUUAAAAAAUUUAACUCUUUAUCAAGACACAUGUAUCUUUUUCGUAAUUACUUUUUCUCUGUUUAGAUAACUCCAAAAGUGUCAGGUCUGUGAGAUGAUUGGGCACACAUUUUUAAGAAUAGUUUGGCAUUUUUGGAAAUAUGCUUCUUCGCUUUCUUGCCAAGAGUUGGCUAGAAAAGAUCGAUACCACUCUUAUGUUUGCAUGAUGAGUAUGGAGCUAUCGCCAGCUUAGCAUAAAGACUGGAAGCAUAGGGGGAAACAGCUAUCCUGGCUCUGUCUUUGUCUCUGUCCUGUCAACACAAUCCACCAACCAGCACCUUAACUUGUUAUAUCUAGUUUGUUUAAUCUGUACAAAAACCAGAGCGUAAAAACAGCAAUAUGCUGUUUGACGGUGGGGGUUAUGUGCUGGACUAUUUCUUGGCUUGGACCAGUAACUUCCUGGAAUCUCCACAACUGGUCCAGGCCAAGAAAUAGUCCGGCACAUAACCCCUCUGUAAAAUGGUGAAUUGUAAUCUUUACACUUAUGGUUUUUGUACAGAUCAAACAAGACAUACAGUAGCAUGUUAAUUAGUCAGCUUUAGAGGUUCUAGGCAGGUUUGGUUAUCUCUGGACAUAGCCAGGCUAGCUGUUCCCCCAGUUUCCAGUCUUUAUGCUAAGCUAAGCUAACCAGCUGCUGGUUGUAGCUGUAUAUUUACCAUACAGACGUUAGAGUGGUAUGAUGUCAAUCACCUCAACUAACUCUCUGCAAGAAAGAAAAUAAGCGCCUUUCCAAAAAUGUGGAAAAUAAUGCUACUAAUUUCCCCCCUGAUUUGGAAAGAAAUUGAGCUUUUGUUUUGAAAGCACCUUCCAUCAACAUUCAGGUGUUCAUUCAACCAUCAAUGCCUGCAUUUCAAGAUUUAAAUGUAUACUCUGAAAUACUUCAUGAACACAGACUCAUUCUUUUCUAACAGCUCUAUUUAAUAUCCAUACCUGCCAUAUAUGCCUUACCUUUUUAAAUAUAUAAACGGACGAUCACCUGGAUGGUGUUCGUCCGCUGUCUAAUUUGUAAUCAAUUCCAACAAAACCUCUUUUCCUAAAAUGCAAUAAAAUGUUACUGAAAAAACA
Perca fluviatilis (European perch) is the source of this 1891-nucleotide long non-coding RNA. RefSeq lists it as uncharacterized. The record is from RefSeq and is a predicted model, not a curated record. NCBI's taxonomy places the organism in Eukaryota, Metazoa, Chordata, Actinopteri, Perciformes, Percidae. The transcript is spliced from 5 exons.